Molecule: long non-coding RNA, 1401 nt
Filed under: Prunus dulcis (almond)
Lineage: Eukaryota; Viridiplantae; Streptophyta; Magnoliopsida; Rosales; Rosaceae
Description: sRNA ncRNA
Source: RNAcentral
AUGGUAGCUACCAACACAAAUGAGGUUCAAACAAAUUAUGAAGUGAGCUAAAAGCUUUUGAUGACACCAAGGAAGGUGUUAAAGGCCUUGUUGAUGCUGGCAUAACUGAGGUUCCUAGGAUUUUUCAUCAACCACCAGGUGAGCACUUCAUUGACAACACUUCUGAUUCAGAAGCCACCCAAACCCAAUUUAGCAUUCCACUCAUAGACCUUGAAGGCCUUGCGCUUGAUAGUCCGACGAAACGAAAGGAGAUCGUUGCAAAAGUUGGAGAGGCAUCAGAGACUUGGGGCUUUUUCCAAAUUGCCAAUCAUGGAAUUCCUAUUGGUGUUCUGGAGGAGAUAAAGGAUGGGGUGCGUGGUUUUUUUGAGCAAGACACUGAGGUGAAGAAAGAGCUUUACACUCGUGAUUACUUCAGACCUGUGAUCUAUAAUAGCAACUUUGAUCUAUAUAAAGCACCAGCGACUAACUGGAGGGAUACUUUUAUUUGUUACAUGGCUCCUUACGCAAAGAAGCCAGAAGACUUGCCUGAAGUAUGCAGGUAUAUGUCACAACAAAAUUUAUAUAUAAUUCUCUGCUAGAAUUUGUAAGUUUAUUUGAUGAUAUUAAUUAGCUUGACAGCUUCAUAUGUGUUUAAACUUUGUAGAGACAUUCUUAUUGAGUACUCCAAGCAAAUAAUGAGGUUGGGGAAGUUGUUGUUCGAGUUGUUGUCGGAGGCUCUUGGGCUGACACCAAGUCACUUGAAUGACAUAGAUUGUAGUGAGGGCCUUGUGCUUCUGUGCCAUUACUAUCCUGCUUGUCCACAGCCAGAAUUAACUUUGGGCACAAGCAAACAUGCUGACAGUGACUUCCUCACAGUCCUUCUGCAAGAUCAUAUUGGUGGCCUCCAAGUUCUUCACAAGAACAAGUGGAUUGAUGUGCCCCCAGUGCCUGGGGCUUUAGUGGUUAACGUUGGAGAUCUUUUACAGGCAAGUAGAACAAUUAUUUUCUUCAUCUUAACAAAGUUGAAACUACAGUAGCUAUAGUAACAAUUAUUGUAAAUCACAAAAAUCAUUUGUUACUUUUGGCUAUUUCACCAUCUAGUGAUUAAAAUUGAAGAAAUUUUUUGGUGGUGCAUAUAGUAUUAUUGUCGUAGAAUAUGUGUCGAAUCUUCGAUUUAGUUUCCUAGCUUGGGUUUUUAUUUUAAAGAUGAUGAACUCAUUUCGGGUUGCAGCUUAUAUCAAAUGAAAGAUUCAAGAGUGUUGAGCACAGGGUACUGGCAAACCGUGUAGGUCCAAGAGUAUCUGUUGCGAGCUUCUUCACCACAGGAAUGUUACCGUUUAAAAAACUCUAUGGACCCAUCAAGGAGCUAGUAUCAGAGGACAAUCCUCCAAAGUACAGGGAGACAACUGUGAAGGACUAUAA